This 253-nucleotide ribosomal RNA is filed under the name uncultured bacterium. Its description in RNAcentral is "partial 16S ribosomal RNA". It matches the Rfam family "Bacterial small subunit ribosomal RNA", at positions 524 to 776 of the family's 1533-position model. The record is from RNAcentral.
UACGAAGGGGGCUAGCGUUGUUCGGAAUCACUGGGCGUAAAGCGCACGUAGGCGGUUUUGUAAGUUAGAGGUGAAAGCCCGGAGCUCAACUUCGGAAUUGCCUUUAAGACUGCAUCACUUGAACGUCGGAGAGGUGAGUGGAAUUCCGAGUGUGGAGGUGAAAUUCGUAGAUAUUCGGAAGAACACCAGUGGCGAAGGCGGCUCACUGGACGACUGUUGACGCUGAGGUGCGAAAGCGUGGGGAGCAAACAGG